Molecule: ribosomal RNA, 435 nt
Filed under: uncultured bacterium
Lineage: Bacteria
Description: partial 16S ribosomal RNA
Rfam family: Bacterial small subunit ribosomal RNA
Source: RNAcentral
GAUGAACGCUGGCGGUAUGCUUAACACAUGCAAGUCGAACGGACUCUUCGGAGUUAGUGGCGGACGGGUGAGUAACGCGUGAGAAUCUGGCUUUGGGUUCGGGACAACCACUGGAAACGGUGGCUAAUACCGGAUGUGCCGAGAGGUAAAAGAGAAAUUGCCUGAAGAUGAGCUCGCGUCUGAUUAGCUAGUUGGUGAGGUAAAGGCUCACCAAGGCAGCGAUCAGUAGCUGGUCUGAGAGGAUGACCAGCCACACUGGGACUGAGACACGGCCCAGACUCCUACGGGAGGAAGCAGUGGGGAAUUUUCCGCAAUGGGCGAAUGCCUGACGGAGCAAUACCGCGUGUGGGAAGAAGGCUCUUGGGUUGUAAACCUCUUUGCUUAGGGAAGAACAAAAUGACGGUACCUAAGGAAUCAGCAUCGGCUAACUCCGUG